GGUUUGAUCCUGGCUCAGGAUGAACGCUGGCGGCGUGCUUAACACAUGCAAGUCGAACGAACCUUCGGGUUAGUGGCGGACGGGUGAGUAACGCGUGAGAAUCUGCCCUCAGGAGGGGGAUAACGGUUGGAAACGACCGCUAAUACCCCAUAUGCCGCGAGGUGAAAUGAAUUUCGCCUGAGGAUGAGCUCGCGUCUGAUUAGUUAGUUGGUGGGGUAAAGGCCUACCAAGACAUCGAUCAGUAGCUGGUCUGAGAGGAUGAUCAGCCACACUGGGACUGAGACACGGCCCAGACUCCUACGGGAGGCAGCAGUGGGGAAUUUUCCGCAAUGGGCGAAAGCCUGACGGAGCAACGCCGCGUGAGGGAUGAAGGUCUCUGGGCUGUAAACCUCUUUUAUCAAGGAAGAAGAUCUGACGGUACUUGAUGAAUAAGCCACGGCUAAUUCCGUGC
Molecule: ribosomal RNA, 451 nt
Filed under: uncultured bacterium
Lineage: Bacteria
Description: bacterial SSU rRNA
Rfam family: Bacterial small subunit ribosomal RNA
Source: RNAcentral